This 72-nucleotide transfer RNA is filed under the name Camelus bactrianus (Bactrian camel). It matches the Rfam family "tRNA". Rfam says of the family: Transfer RNA (tRNA) molecules are approximately 80 nucleotides in length. RNAcentral also lists the same sequence under 1 other name. The record is from Rfam by way of RNAcentral. Lineage: Eukaryota; Metazoa; Chordata; Mammalia; Artiodactyla; Camelidae.
GAGGGCACAGCUCAGCGGUAGAGCUCAUGCUUAGCAUGCACGAGGUCCUGGGUUCAAUCCCCAGUACCUCCA